AUAGUUGGCUGGAUACAGUAGGUGGAGGUGGAUGAAUGAUUUGGACAGAUGACUCUCUAGUCCCUUGGUGGUAGGGAAUGAUGUGAGGACCCAGAAUAGAUGGACUAUGAAGAGAAGUGUGUGUAGGAGCUUGGCACUACAUGGAGUUUUCCUUUACCCUCUGCUCCCAGACAUGUUGUUUUAGUGUGAAUACUGCAGCAAAGAGCUGUUCUGUCCUGUGUUUGGGGGGAAAUCCCUUGUUCUCCCUCUCUCCCCCCUCUCUCCUGCUCACUCUCCCUCACUCCUGCUCUCUAUCCCACUCCCUCUCUCCCUCCUGUUGUGCCUAUCUCCCUCCCUCUCUCUCGCGCUCUCUCUUUUUCCCUCCCACUCCCUCUCUCCUUCCCUCCCCCCUGCCUCUCUCUCUGAGUCAUUGUUCCACUCAGGCAUGUCCAAGGCUACAGGCUCUAUUAGUGAAAAGCAGUGACCUAACGCUCCUAAAUCUGCCAAACACAUUCUGAGUCAACACUGGAAAUAACCCGGGAUUUACCGUCCGCUAGAGACGUGUUUUUACAUCCAUCCAUCCAAGGGUAUGUUACAGGAAGGAGCUGCCAGAGAAGAGAACCCAUAUCCUCCAACACAUGGCAGAGUCCUCCACAUCCUCCAACACAUGGCAGAGUCCUCCACAUCCUCCAACACAUGGCAGAGUCCUCCACAUCCUCCAACACAUGGCAGAGUCCUCCACUCCUCCAACACAUGGCAGAGUACUCCACUCCUCCAACACAUGGCAGAGUCCUCCACUCCUCCAACACAUGGCAGAGUCCUCCACUCCUCCAACACAUGGCAGAGUCCUCCACAUCCUCCAACACAUGGCAGAGUCCUCCACUCCUCCAACACAUGGCAGAGUCCUCCACAUCCUCCAACACAUGGCAGAGUCCUCCACUCCUCCAACACAUGGCAGAGUCCUCCAUCUAUCUCUCUCUGUUUCCUUACCUCCCACCCCUAUAAUCUUCCAAAAUGAAAUUUCAUACUUUCAUGCAAGAAAAUCCAAAGUGGCAAGAAUCCAUUGGAGGGAGGAAGAGAAGGAGGGUAGGCCAGGCUAGCUAACCAGAGAGAAAUUCUGCCCCUGGUCGGCAGAUUGAUGACAAGAUCAUUUUUCACAGACAGGAAAUCAGACCUCCAGCCAGCUACCUCAACAGGGAAUCAAACUUCCCAGCCAGCCACCUCAACAAGAAAUCAGACCUCCAGCCAGCUACCUCAACAGGAAAUCAAACCUCUAGCCAGCCACCUCAACAAGAAAUCAGACCUCCAGCCAGCCACCCCAACAGGAAAUCAAACCUCUAGCCAGCCACCCUAACAGGAAAUCAAACCUCCCAGCCAGCCACCUCAACAGGAAAUCAAACCUCCCAGCCAGCCACCUCAACAAGAAAUCAGACCUCCAGCCAGCCACCUCAACAAGAAAUCAGACCUCCAGCCAGCCACCUCAACAAGAAAUCAGACCUCCAGCCAGCCACCUCAACAAGAAAUCGAACCUCCAGCCAGCCGCCUCAACAAGAAAUCAGACCUCCAGCCAGCCACCUCAACAAGAAAUCAGACCUCCAGCCAGCCACCUCAACAGGAAAUCAAACAUCCAGCUAGCCACCUCAAAAGGGAAUCAAAGAUAACAACAUGGUUUAGAUAAAAGCCCAUGGACAACCAGAACAUCAGAAUUCCACUCCCAGAGUUUUUCUCAGAGUCUCCCAGCUAACAUCCACUAAGGGCCCAGCCUGGCAACACAGAGAGUCUCCCAGCCAACGUCCACUAAGGUUCUAGCCUGGCAACACAGAGAGUCUCCCAGCCAACGUCCACUAAGGUUCCAGCCUGGCAACACAGAGAGUCUCCCAGCCAACGUCCACUAAGGUUCUAGCCUGGCAACACAGAGUCUCCCAGCCAACGUCCACUAAGGCUCCAGCCUGGCAACACAGAGUGUCUCCCAGCCAACGUCCACUAAGGUUCCAGCCUGGCAACACAGAGAGUCUCCCAGCCAACGUCCACUAAGGUUCCAGCCUGGCAACACAGAGAGUCUCCCAGCCAACGUCCACUAAGGUUCUAGCCUGGCAACACAGAGAGUCUCCCAGCCAACGUCCACUAAGGUUCUAGCCUGGCAAAACAGAGUCUCCCAGCCAACGUCCACUAAGGUUCCAGCCUGGCAACACAGAGAGUCUCCCAGCCAACGUCCACUAAGGUUACAGCCUGGCAACACAGAGAGUCUCCCAGCCAACGUCCACUAAGGUUCUAGCCUGGCAAAACAGAGUCUCCCAGCCAACGUCCACUAAGGUUCCAGCCUGGCAACACAGAGAGUCUCCCAGCCAACGUCCACUAAGGUUUCAGCCUGGCAACACCGCCACGGGACAUUCUUGCACACAUACACACAAGCACAUUCGAAUACCCGAGCUGACAAGGUGAAAAAUCUGUUGAUCUGCCCUUGAGCACAACAUUUCAUUGCAACUACUGUAUGUAUGUGACAAUACAUAAUUUAAAAAAUAUAUAUUAUACAGGACUUCCAACAGUACAUAUAUGAUUGAGAAUCAUGGAGGCCAUUGUAUCCUGCUGCUAGACUCCUGUAUCAUGCUGUCUCCCAUCUUCCCCCCUCAGCAAUAUCUUCCAGUCCUUUAUUGAUAUCUCAUGUUGUUUUUGAAAACAUGUAAACGGCCAAACAUCCUAAAAUUAUCAAUUUUGUCUUGCUGAUACUCGAAAAGACAUUGUUGGUGUCUUGGCUGACACGAGAAAGUAACUUAGAUAGUCAGUUCAGAGCAGGAAUUGGAAUUAAACUCCUGCCACUGCAUCCUGAUCCUUGUUUUCAGUUGACUGGCGAGGAGUUUUGUCCCCAGCUGGCUGAAGCGUCUGUCCAACAGACAUGGGUUCAGGUAGUAUUUGUUUUCUUUCAACUGCCUUUGCUGCACUUGAUCGAGCUUCCCUGGCUGCAGUACAACCAACCGGGAUAGUCUCAAAAGUUCAAACCUUGCCCAUCUGGCCCUGCAUGCAGUCUCAAUCCAACGCUUAAAAGUAUUUGAAAGGAAACAAAUACUAUUUGAAUCUAGGACUGCUGUCCAAAGCUGGUCUUCUUAUGAGGGGUGUGUCCUGUACUCUGUCUUGUUCCCAAAUGGAACACUGUUCCCUACAUAAAGCCUCACAGCCCCCAUUCAAAAGUAGCACACUAUAGAGGAAUAGGAUGUAAUUUAGUACAUUUGAUUCCCAGCCCUCCCUCCUCGAAGAUCCCAAAUCCAAACCCAAAUCCAAAGGAUCUAUGGAGUGAAGGGUAAUGAUGAUAAUGAUACAAUAGUACCUGUUUCAAAUAAUGUAUUUUUUUUUACUUUCUGGUUAUUUAAAGUAUUUUUCACACAAAAUAUUUCUGAUGACCACUUUACAGCAACAUAUAAUCUUUCUAGCAUUCUUUGGGAAUGAGCUUACGCCUUCCUAUGAUAUGCUUUCUAUUCUCUCUCUGCCACAUAUCCUGUGGUCUCUCACAUCUGUCUCCUCUGCCACAUAUCCUGUGGUAUCUCACAUCCGUCUCCUCUGCCGCAUAUCCUGUGGUAUCUCACAUCCGUCUCCUCUGCCACAUAUCCUGUGGUAUCUCACAUCCGUCUCCUCUGCCACAUAUCUUGUGGUAUCUCACAUCUGUCUCCUCUGCCACAUAUCUUGUGGUAUCUCACAUCCGUCUCCUCUGCUGCAUAUCCUGUGGUAUCUCACAUCCGUCUCCUCUGCCACAUAUCCUGUGGUAUCUCACAUCCGUCUCCUCUGCCGCAUAUCCUGUGGUAUCUCACAUCCGUCUCCUCUGCUACAAGCAGCUGAUUUUUAGCUUUGACUCUCCAAUUAGCGUCUACAGCUUUGUUGGCAUGCACGCACACACACUGUUCACAAGGUUUUACUGCUAACCUACAAAGCAUUACAUGGGCUUGCUCCUACCUAUCUUUCCGAUUUGGUCCUGCCGUACAUACCUACACGUACGCUACGGUCACAAGACGCAGGCCUCCUAAUUGUCCCUAGAAUUUCUAAGCAAACGGCUGGAGGUAGGGCUUUCUCCUAUAGAG
Molecule: non-coding RNA, 4046 nt
Organism: Salmo salar (Atlantic salmon)
Lineage: Eukaryota; Metazoa; Chordata; Actinopteri; Salmoniformes; Salmonidae
Source: RefSeq, a predicted model, not a curated record